RNAcentral lists this ribosomal RNA (732 nucleotides) under Pantoea sp. 15Y12. RNAcentral's name for it is "bacterial SSU rRNA". It matches the Rfam family "Bacterial small subunit ribosomal RNA", at positions 54 to 779 of the family's 1533-position model. Lineage: Bacteria; Pseudomonadati; Pseudomonadota; Gammaproteobacteria; Enterobacterales; Erwiniaceae. The record is from RNAcentral.
CAUGCAGUCGACGGUAGCACAGAGAGCUUGCUCUCGGGUGACGAGUGGCGGACGGGUGAGUAAUGUCUGGGAAACUGCCCGAUGGAGGGGGAUAACUACUGGAAACGGUAGCUAAUACCGCAUAACGUCGCAAGACCAAAGUGGGGGACCUUCGGGCCUCACACCAUCGGAUGUGCCCAGAUGGGAUUAGCUAGUAGGUGGGGUAAUGGCUCACCUAGGCGACGAUCCCUAGCUGGUCUGAGAGGAUGACCAGCCACACUGGAACUGAGACACGGUCCAGACUCCUACGGGAGGCAGCAGUGGGGAAUAUUGCACAAUGGGCGCAAGCCUGAUGCAGCCAUGCCGCGUGUAUGAAGAAGGCCUUCGGGUUGUAAAGUACUUUCAGCGGGGAGGAAGGCGGUGAAGUUAAUAACUUCACCGAUUGACGUUACCCGCAGAAGAAGCACCGGCUAACUCCGUGCCAGCAGCCGCGGUAAUACGGAGGGUGCAAGCGUUAAUCGGAAUUACUGGGCGUAAAGCGCACGCAGGCGGUCUGUCAAGUCGGAUGUGAAAUCCCCGGGCUUAACCUGGGAACUGCAUUCGAAACUGGCAGGCUAGAGUCUUGUAGAGGGGGGUAGAAUUCCAGGUGUAGCGGUGAAAUGCGUAGAGAUCUGGAGGAAUACCGGUGGCGAAGGCGGCCCCCUGGACAAAGACUGACGCUCAGGUGCGAAAGCGUGGGGAGCAAACAGGAUU